AAAUACUCAUAUAAAUAAUAAAUAAUAUUUAAAUUUUUAUGGUUUAAAAAAUUUAUUUAAAAUUUAUUUUACAUAUAAAUUUUAGUGUUAAUUUUUCUUUAUUUAAAUAAUAUUGUAAAUUAUAAUAUUUAGUAGUAAUUAAUGUUAAAUAUUUAAGAAAUUAAGAUUUAGUAAUAUUUGAAUUAAUAACAAAUUUUGUGCCAGCAGUUGCGGUUAUACAAAAAUUAAAUUAAAUUUUAUUAGUAAUUAAUAAAUAAUAAAUUUAAAAAGUAAUAAAAAUUUUAAAUUAUUAGGUGAAAUUUUAAUUUAUAAAAAAUUUAUAAAAAAUUUAUGAUUUAAUAAAAUUUUUAAAAAACUAGGAUUAGAUACCCUAUUAUUAAGAUUUUAAAUUAAAAAUACUAAAAAAGUAAUUAUUAAUAUAUUGGAACUUAAAUAAUUUGGCGGUAUUUUAGUUCAUUUAGAGGAAUCUGUUAGGUAAUUGAUAAUCCACGAAUAAAAUUACUUAAAUUAUAAUUUUGUAUAUCGUUGUUAAAAAAAUAUUUUUAAAUAAAAAUAAUAUUUAAAAAUUAAAAUAAAAAAUUAAAUCAGAUCAAGAUGCAGAUUAUAUUUAAGAUUAUAAUGGGUUACAAUAAAUUAAUUUAAAUAGAUAUUAUUUUAAAAAAAAUAAUUGAAAGUGGAUUUAAAUGUAAUUUUAUUUAGUUUGAUAAAAUGAUUUUUAAUUGAAAUAUGUACAUAUUGCCCGUCGCUUUCAUAUAAUAUUCAAUAAUAUAAAAGUAUUGAAUUUAAAAUUGAAAUAAGUCGUAACAAAGUAGAGAUACUGGAAAGUGUUUCUAGAAAGCA
This 840-nucleotide non-coding RNA is filed under the name Spatalia doerriesi. Lineage: Eukaryota; Metazoa; Arthropoda; Insecta; Lepidoptera; Notodontidae. The record is from RNAcentral.